UCCCUGGUGGCUCAGAUGGUAAAGCGUCUGCCUGCAAUGCAGGAGACCCGGGUUCGAUUCCUGGGUCGGGAA
This 72-nucleotide transfer RNA is filed under the name Capra hircus (goat). It matches the Rfam family "tRNA". From Rfam's summary of the family: Transfer RNA (tRNA) molecules are approximately 80 nucleotides in length. Their secondary structure includes four short double-helical elements and three loops (D, anti-codon, and T loops). Lineage: Eukaryota; Metazoa; Chordata; Mammalia; Artiodactyla; Bovidae. RNAcentral also lists the same sequence under 2 other names. The record is from Rfam by way of RNAcentral.